CUCCUCUGAGCUAGCUUUUGGGAGUGAGUUCUACACCUAGCUUAUGGCAUGAUACGAGCCUAUUAUGGGAUGUGUUGGUAUCAAGAAGUUAAAGCUCUCAAUAGUCGAGCUUUUUUCCAGCUAAAAAUGUAACAUAUUUCUACAAAUGCAACUGAUGUCGGUUUUGGUAUAGUGGGAGGUGUGCAUUAUAUGGAUAUUGAUGGGAAUGGAAUCUUGAGGUAACAUUAAGGUUACGAAUUGUAUGGACAUUGACACUUUGGGAGGGUAUUUAAAAAUUACAUAAGACAUGAACCCUUCAUGUUUGAUUAUCAAUUUAAAUCUCAUGUCUGGUAACAGAACAUAGUAACGUUUUCUGGUACUUGGUCUAAGUAGUGUUUAACCAAGAGCUUAACAAGCUUUUAUACUCUGUAAAGGAUGACGAGCAUGACUUGGAAGUUGACACUGCAUCAUCUGCAACUCAAGCUGAGAUUUAGCGUUACUUGCUUCUGCUUUCUUGAUUGAUCAGAAAAUAUACAUCAGUGUCUCGGGGUGAAGUGACAACAAGAGGAUCUGAAGCCUAAAACGCUUUCUAUGUAAUAGAUUCAUCGGGGGAUCAAGUGAACUAAUACGAUUUAAGCAGUAAGAAAUGCAAACGGUGAGACCGUACUUAAGGUGAAGGAAGACAAUAUUGACAAAUGCAAAAUUACCUUGGCAACAAACAGGCGGGUUGAUUGAUAGGGGUAUUAUGCAUGGUUUGGUGCAUGCCCCACCUUUGCUUGUUAUUAUGCGUGGUUGGUCUGUGGUUAAAUCUGCAAAACGUGGGUGGGCAGCAGGUCAAUAAGUGUGCCUUUAUUGUGUAUGAUGGUGAACUUCUUUUCAGUUGGAACUAGCAUAUAUGCGUCUCAAUCAAUAUAUUGGACCAGUGCAUGACACUUUAUAGGACUUGAUAAUCCACCGUGGCUGGCUGGCUGCACACACCUCGUCUGUUUAUGGCCGAGUUAAUUUAUAAGAUGCUUGGUUUACGCGAGGCGAAGCGGGAGGAUACCAUGUGAAUGCCUCACCUACAUGGAGGACUGGAGGUGAGGCAAAGAUGAAGUGAGGGGGAUAUGUGCACAAAUGGGAAAAGGCGAUGGAUUUCCAAUAGUUUGCCAAAGAUUUCUUGAGAUUUAUAUAGUUUAGCCCCUUUAAUGAAUCUAUAAAAUCGUGGAAAUUGGAAAAAAAAAUGGCAGAUUUAUAAUUGUUGAAAGUGUAAAAAUGGCGGAAGUAGGACUCUUGUUGAAGACGAACAUAUACGUGGAUGAAGUGAGUAGGCCCAAUUUAUCUAGAAGAUGUUUUUAUUUCAACUUUUCAUUUAAAACCUUUGAGUUUUAGGUUCCGUUUUUUGAAUAUAAAAAGUUUCAGGAAACUACAUCCAAGCUUUGGUA
Molecule: long non-coding RNA, 1403 nt
Organism: Erigeron canadensis
Lineage: Eukaryota; Viridiplantae; Streptophyta; Magnoliopsida; Asterales; Asteraceae
Exons: 5
Source: RefSeq, a predicted model, not a curated record